CCAUCUGUGAGUUUUUUGAGAGUGUCUCACAUCUAAAACUCCUUCUCCUACUUUUCAUCUUUGGAAGAGUCCAGAUCAAGGAGGCAUCUAAUCGACCUUUGAAGAAGGAUCAGCAUAGUACUAGCAUACUAUGCUGAUUUUCUGGACUAAGACUUCUGAUCGUGAUUCGUGAGCUCGUGUGGAUGACUCUUAGAGGUCG
This 199-nucleotide long non-coding RNA is filed under the name Elaeis guineensis (African oil palm). RNAcentral's name for it is "long non-coding RNA (EGUI_LNC072085)". The record is from RNAcentral. Lineage: Eukaryota; Viridiplantae; Streptophyta; Magnoliopsida; Arecales; Arecaceae.